AGCAGCCGCGGUAAUUCCAGCUCCAAUAGCGUAUAUUAAAGUUGUUGCAGUUAAAAAGCUCGUAGUUGAAUUUCGGGAUUGACAUAUCGGUCGUGCCUUAAGGGGUAUGAACUGGUGUAGUCAAUUUCUCACCUUCUGGAGAACCGCGAUGCCCUUAAUUGGGUGUCACGGGGAACCAGGACCUUUACUUUGAAAAAUUAGAGUGUUUAAAGCAGGCAUUUUGCUUGAAUACAUUAGCAUGGAAUAAUAAAGUAGGACGGCAUGAUUCUAUUUUGUUGGUUUCUAGGAUCACCGUAAUGAUUAAUAGGGAUAGUUGGGGGCAUUAGUAUUCAAUUGUCAGAGGUGAAAUUCUUGGAUUUAUUGAAGACUAACUACUGCGAAAGCAUUUGCCAAGGAUGUUUUCAUUAAUACAAGAACGAAAGUUAGGGGAUCGAAGACGAUCAGAUACCGUCGUAGUCUUAACCAUAAACUAUAGCCGACUAGGGA
This 486-nucleotide ribosomal RNA is filed under the name uncultured Entrophospora. Its description in RNAcentral is "SSU rRNA". It matches the Rfam family "Eukaryotic small subunit ribosomal RNA", at positions 569 to 1052 of the family's 1831-position model. Lineage: Eukaryota; Fungi; Glomeromycota; Glomeromycetes; Entrophosporales; Entrophosporaceae. The record is from RNAcentral.